Molecule: long non-coding RNA, 89 nt
Organism: Mustela erminea (ermine)
Lineage: Eukaryota; Metazoa; Chordata; Mammalia; Carnivora; Mustelidae
Exons: 3
Source: RefSeq, a predicted model, not a curated record
GGAAUCUAUAUAAGAUAGAGGAGGACCAGGCUGGUAGCCAGGAGAAGCCAGGUUUCCAUGGAAAAGCUCGGGAUCAGGUCCAUGGCCAC